GACGAACGCUGGCGGCGUGGAUUAGGCAUGCAAGUCGGACGGUAGGGCUUUAUCGUAAGAUAGAGUUUGAGAGUGGCGAACGGGUGAGUAACACGUAGGAAUCUACCCUUAAGACGGGGACAACCCAGGGAAACUUGGGCUAAUACCGGAUGAGAGUGCGAGAGAUUGCAUUUAAAAGGAUGGCGAAAGUUGUCGCUUAGGGAUGAGCCUGCGGUCUAUUAGUUAGUUGGUGAGGUAAGAGCUCACCAAGGCGACGAUCCGUAGCUGGUCUGAGAGGACGACCAGCCACACUGGAACUGAGACACGGUCCAGACUCCUACGGGAGGCAGCAGUGGGGAAUUUUGGACAAUGGGGGAAACCCUGACCCAGUGACGCCGCGUGCAGGAAGGAGCCCUUCGGGGUGUAAACUGCUGUCGUGUAGGGAGAAGGGUACUAAGGUGAACAAUCUUAGUACUUGACGGUACUACAGGAGGAAGCCCAGGCUAACCUCGUGCCAGCAGCCGCGGUAAACUACGUAGA
RNAcentral lists this ribosomal RNA (519 nucleotides) under uncultured bacterium. RNAcentral's name for it is "bacterial SSU rRNA". It matches the Rfam family "Bacterial small subunit ribosomal RNA", at positions 28 to 531 of the family's 1533-position model. The record is from RNAcentral.